AGGCAGAACACAGCCACAGCACCAGUGUUCCCACCAUGGCCUGCUAGAGUUUGUGCACAGCUGGACUCCCAGCAGCAUGGUGCUGGGCCUUGGCUUGCACUACAGGCCCAGCAUCCUCCUCCUCAGGGCUUGACAGCCACUGCAUGAUCCAGAACACCCUGAGGGUCAGGAAACCUGGCACUCUGCAGACCUAAGAAGUUGCUUCCAACAGAAUUCAGAAAGGCCAGGUCUACCAAGCAGUCAGACUGCAGGAGGCUUCUGUGUUCCUCAAGAAAUUCUUCCUCCUCCUUUCCUGAGAACUACAAAACUUGCAUCGCUUGCAUAUGUCAGUGAAAAAAUUAAAGCCUGCACUGGGGAUAUGGCACAGCAUCUCUGCAUGUUUCUUUUGGCAGGUGUACUCUACAGUUCAUUAGGGAGAUGCAUACAAGGCAAGCUGGUUCAAGAGGAGUCAGGAAGCCCAACACACCAAACCAAUGAGAAGCCUAUCAGAGGCCUGAUACCAGAAUCACUAGGAGCAUUUUCUUUCCCAAAUGCAAUGCUCCAAAGCAGCUGAUACCAUUUGCUCUUUUCUAGGAGUACUACAUAUAUAAAAAGUUAACAACCUUAUUUCUUCCUUGCUGUUGUCCCUAUCUCCAAGCAACCCCAGUAACCCUCAAUAAUUCAAUGACUAUAAGCAUCACUUCCACCUACAGAAACACAGGAAAAGCUAGGCAGAGGUCACCCUUUCCUUUUGUUUUCAGGAUUAGAAAUGUUUAGUCUAGAGUGACACAGAGUUGGUAAGUGACAGAACUUAAGGUCUGCUUCCCAAAGAGGAAAAACCAGGGCUGCUGGAGGAUGUGCUUUCCGCUCCCUAAAGCAAGAUUUAAAAAUCUCUCUAUUGAUCCAACAGUUAACCAGCAAAUAUUACACUCUACACUCUAAGGAGGUGAUUUAUAAGAGACCUAAAGAAACUAUAAAAGGAAAUAAUACCAUGACCUAUUGCUUAACACUGGCAAGUCAACACACAUAAUACUUCUUUAAAGCCCUGGUUCAUUCAAUUCCUGACAGUCACCCUUAUUAAGUGGCUGAAGACUUCAUGUACAAACUAGAUUUUCAUUCCCCACCGCUAUCCCUUAAUACCUGUCCAGAUAUAAUACUCCUUUUGUGCUAGCAUUUUAAUUGAAUACUAAAAAAUAAUAGUUCACUGAAUGCAAGAUUUACUGUAACAUAAAAAUAAAAUGACAAUAAAGUCAUACA
This 1236-nucleotide long non-coding RNA is filed under the name Numida meleagris (helmeted guineafowl). RNAcentral describes it as "lncRNA (ENSNMEG00000020886.1)". Lineage: Eukaryota; Metazoa; Chordata; Aves; Galliformes; Numididae. The record is from RNAcentral.